AUUGAACGCUGGCGGCAUGCUUUACACAUGCAAGUCGAACGGUAACAGGCCUUCGGGUGCUGACGAGUGGCGAACGGGUGAGUAAUGCAUCGGAACGUGCCCAAUCGUGGGGGAUAACGUAGCGAAAGUUACGCUAAUACCGCAUAAGCCCUGAGGGGGAAAGCAGGGGAUCGCAAGACCUUGCGCGAAUGGAGCGGCCGAUGUCAGAUUAGCUAGUUGGUGGGGUAAAGGCCUACCAAGGCGACGAUCUGUAGCGGGUCUGAGAGGAUGAUCCGCCACACUGGGACUGAGACACGGCCCAGACUCCUACGGGAGGCAGCAGUGGGGAAUUUUGGACAAUGGGCGCAAGCCUGAUCCAGCCAUGCCGCGUGCGGACGAA
Molecule: ribosomal RNA, 379 nt
Filed under: uncultured bacterium
Lineage: Bacteria
Description: bacterial SSU rRNA
Rfam family: Bacterial small subunit ribosomal RNA
Source: RNAcentral